GAUGAACGCUGGCGGCGUGCUUAACACAUGCAAGUCGAACGAAGCACUUUAUUUGAUUUCCUUCGGGACUGAUUAUUUUGUGACUGAGUGGCGGACGGGUGAGUAACGCGUGGGUAACCUGCCUUGUACAGGGGGAUAACAGUUGGAAACGGCUGCUAAUACCGCAUAGCGCACAGCAACGCCUGAUGCAGGGUGAAAAAAUCCGGUGGUAUUAGAUGGACCCGCGUUGGAUUUGCUAGUUGGUGAGGUAACGGCCCACCAAGGCGACGAUCCAUAGCCGACCUGAGAGGGUGACCGGCCACAUUGGGACUGAGACACGGCCCAAACUCCUACGGGAGGCAGCAGUGGGGAAUAUUGCACAAUGGGCGAAAGCCUGAUGCAGCGACGCCGCGUGAGCGAAGAAGUAUUUCGGUAUGUAAAGCUCUAUCAGCAGGGAAGAUAAUGACGGUACCUGACUAAGAAGCACCGGCUAAAUACGUG
This 480-nucleotide ribosomal RNA is filed under the name uncultured bacterium. RNAcentral describes it as "partial 16S ribosomal RNA". It matches the Rfam family "Bacterial small subunit ribosomal RNA", at positions 28 to 507 of the family's 1533-position model. The record is from RNAcentral.